UUUCUUUUUUUCCUCCUCCUCCUCCGCCUCUUUCCUUCUGGAGCGGAGGAAGGCUCCCGGCUGCAAGCGAGCGCGCAGUGAUUGGCCGCGCGGGGCGAAAAAGCAGGCAGAGCGCGCGGCGUUUCCUCCCGGAGAGAAGCCGAGCAGCUAGGAGAGAUCGAAGCCGGCAAGCUGGGCUGACUGAGGGAGCCGGCUGCUCGAUCGAGUGUGUGUGUUGGGGGUGGUGGUGUCCCCGUCUUCCUCGCUCUUCGCUCGCUCCUCUCGGGACGGUAACUUUGCCAAGCAGCGCCAAGACUCACACGACACUUGCUAAGGGACGAGACGCCAAAAAAGAAAAGAAAAGAAAAGAAAAGAAAGACGCGGGAGCAAACCGGCUAAGGUAGAGUGCUCCUUCCUAAUGCGACCGCUACUUAUGAGGCGCCGGAGACAAAAUGCAGCCAGCCGCCGCUAAGUGGUCAGCCGUGCUUUGAAUGGGGGCGCCCGGACUUCUCUCCCUGCAGUGAAAUGAACUGGCUAAUAUUGGUGACAUUUUGAUGAUCCAUGGAGAAGCAAGAGGGACCGGUUCUUUAACAAGCUGCCAAUCCCUGGCAGGAGGGUAAUGGAAUCAGAAAGAAACAAAGUUGGACAUGUGCUGGACUAUUCUUCUUCUGUGGAUGCUGAGGUCCCAGUUUUUCAUGCCUGUUGUCUGUGAUGGAUGUGAGGUAAGAAAUACUGUACAGUGUUGUUUUUGUUUUUUGUUUUGUAAAAGAAAUCCCAAAACAAGCUAUGGUAGUAAAAUAGCUUGUAGUUUUCAGUGCAC
Thamnophis sirtalis is the source of this 799-nucleotide non-coding RNA. The record is from RefSeq and is a predicted model, not a curated record. Lineage: Eukaryota; Metazoa; Chordata; Lepidosauria; Squamata; Natricidae.